This 253-nucleotide ribosomal RNA is filed under the name uncultured bacterium. Its description in RNAcentral is "partial 16S ribosomal RNA". It matches the Rfam family "Bacterial small subunit ribosomal RNA", at positions 524 to 776 of the family's 1533-position model. The record is from RNAcentral.
UACGAAGGGGGCUAGCGUUGCUCGGAAUCACUGGGCGUAAAGCGCACGUAGGCGGAUUGCUAAGUCAGGGGUGAAAUCCUGGAGCUCAACUCCAGAACUGCCUUUGAUACUGGCGACCUUGAGUCCGGGAGAGGUGAGUGGAACUGCGAGUGUAGAGGUGAAAUUCGUAGAUAUCGGGAGGAAUACCAGUGGCGAAGGCGCUGGGCUGGACGGCGAUUGACGCUGAGGUGCGAAAGCGUGGGGAGCAAACAGG